CCACCCAGUCACCUGAGAGCAUACAGGACUGUGCCAUUGGAGAAGAGGCGGAUGAGCCUGUUGCCCACAGUGACUUCAUGGAGGAAGGACUUCUUGGACUCCACAAUCUCCCUCAGCUCCAGUGCAUGCACUUUUGGACUUUACGUGCUUAACAGACAGGAAGUAAAAGAAAUGGCAAGUGGUGAAAGUUUCUUUCUCAGCCAUGUCUCUGCAGUGGAGGCAAAACCAUGCAGCGGGUCUGCCUAGAUGUGCCCGUGUCAGCUUCACCAGGAGUACCUAUUAAAGAUGCACAUUCCUGGGG
Leopardus geoffroyi (Geoffroy's cat) is the source of this 301-nucleotide long non-coding RNA. RefSeq lists it as uncharacterized. The record is from RefSeq and is a predicted model, not a curated record. Lineage: Eukaryota; Metazoa; Chordata; Mammalia; Carnivora; Felidae. The transcript is spliced from 2 exons.